RNAcentral lists this ribosomal RNA (446 nucleotides) under uncultured bacterium. RNAcentral describes it as "partial 16S ribosomal RNA". It matches the Rfam family "Bacterial small subunit ribosomal RNA", at positions 338 to 795 of the family's 1533-position model. The record is from RNAcentral.
UCUACGGGUGGCAGCAGUAGGGAAUUUUCGGCAAUGGGGGGAACCCUGACCGAGCAACGCCGCGUGAACGAAGAAGUUAUUCGUAAUGUAAAGUUCUUUUAACAGGGAAGAAAGAGAAAUUUGACGGUACCUGAAGAAUAAGCUCCGGCUAACUACGUGCCAGCAGCCGCGGUAAUACGUAGGGAGCGAGCGUUAUCCGGAAUUAUUGGGCGAAAAGGGUGGGUAGAUGGUAUAGUAAGCAUUUUGUAAAAAUGCUGGGGUAAACCCAAUAGGGCAAAAGAUACUGGAAAGCUAGAGUAUGACAGAGGUAAGUGGAAGUACGGGUGUAGCGGUGAAAUGCGUAAAUAUAUGUAAGAACACCAGUGGCGAAGGCGGCUUGCUGGGUUGAUACUGACAUUGAGGCACGAAAGCGUGGGGAGCAAACAGGAUUAGAUACCCCUGUAGUC